Molecule: ribosomal RNA, 235 nt
Filed under: uncultured bacterium
Lineage: Bacteria
Description: partial 16S ribosomal RNA
Rfam family: Bacterial small subunit ribosomal RNA
Source: RNAcentral
AGCAAUCUACCUUGGAGUGGGGAAUAACACAGUGAAAACUGUGCUAAUACCGCAUAAUACAACUGUGUCGCAUGGCAGUGGUUGUCAAAGAUUUAUCGCUCUGAGAUGAGCUCGCGUCUGAUUAGCUUGUUGGCGGGGUAACGGCCCACCAAGGCGACGAUCAGUAGCCGGACUGAGAGGUUGGCCGGCCACAUUGGGACUGAGACACGGCCCAGACUCCUACGGGAGGCAGCAG